This 288-nucleotide small RNA is filed under the name Nitrosopumilales archaeon. RNAcentral's name for it is "5_ureB_sRNA". It matches the Rfam family "5' ureB small RNA". Lineage: Archaea; Thermoproteati; Nitrososphaerota; Nitrososphaeria; Nitrosopumilales. The record is from RNAcentral.
CAAUUGCUUGUUGAGGAGAGAUGAAGUGAACGUGUGUAUCAAUUGUACCAGGAGUACAAAUUGUAUGUUCUCCUGCAAUAACUUCUGUACUUGAUCCUAUUAUCAUAUCUAUGUCAUCCAUAAUAUCCGGAUUUCCUGCGUUUCCAACACCAACAAUCUUACCCUCUUUUAUGCCGAUGUCUGCUUUGAUAAUACCCAAAAUUGGAUCCAUAACUAUUGCGUUAGUAAUUACAAGAUCCAAAGCUUCUUUGCAUGGAACACCACUUGCUUGACCGCAACCAUCCCUUG